This 484-nucleotide ribosomal RNA is filed under the name uncultured Pseudomonadota bacterium. RNAcentral describes it as "bacterial SSU rRNA". It matches the Rfam family "Bacterial small subunit ribosomal RNA", at positions 97 to 573 of the family's 1533-position model. The record is from RNAcentral. Lineage: Bacteria; Pseudomonadati; Pseudomonadota.
GGCGCAAGGGUGAGUAACACGUAGGCAACCUGCCUUCAGGACGAGGAUAACUCCGAGAAAUCGGGGCUAAUACUCGAUUAUGCAGCGGCACCGCAUGGUGACAGUUGUUAAAAGCCCCAAAAGGGUGCCUGAAGAUGGGCCUGCGUCCCAUUAGGUAGUUGGUGAGGUAACGGCUCACCAAGCCGACGAUGGGUAGCUGGUCUGAGAGGGUGAUCAGCCACACUGGAACUGAGACACGGUCCAGACUCCUACGGGAGGCAGCAGUGAGGAAUAUUGCGCAAUGUCCGAAAGGGUGACGCAGCGACGCCGCGUGGAGGAUGAAGGCCCUAUGGGUCGUAAACUCCUUUUGAGGGGGAAGAAUAGUCCGCUACAGGCGGAUUUGACGGUACCCCUAGAAAAAGCACCGGCUAACUACGUGCCAGCAGCCGCGGUAAUACGUAGGGUGCGAGCGUUGUCCGGAAUCACUGGGUGUAAAGGGAGCGCA